CGGCGAAUACUAAUGAGCGCUUCCAUUUUGGAAGCGCUUAUUAGUACUGGAGGAACCAGGAAGCGUUGAACGCUCUGUACUUACAGCUUCCUGGUCCUCGGCUGUCGGCUGCGCACAGCUGACAGCAGGAAGAAGAGGAUCGCGGGCGGCAAGGAGCGGCGGCGUCCAGGAGCAGAGAG
This is a long non-coding RNA of Bufo bufo (common toad), 179 nucleotides long. RefSeq lists it as uncharacterized. The transcript is spliced from 3 exons. The record is from RefSeq and is a predicted model, not a curated record. Lineage: Eukaryota; Metazoa; Chordata; Amphibia; Anura; Bufonidae.